CCUACGGGAGGCAGCAGGGAGGAAUAAGGGGCAAUGGACGAAAGGCGGAACCAGCCAGGCGGCGGGCAGGAAGACGGCUCUAUGAGUUGUAAACUGCUUUUGUACGAGGGUAAACUCAGAUACGUGUAUCUGUCUGCAAGUAUCGUACGAAUAAGGAUCGGCUAACUCCGUGCCAGCAGCCGCGGUAAUCCGGAGGAUUCAAGCGUUAUCCGGAUUUAUUGGGUUUAAAGGGUGCGUAGGCGGUCGGUUAAGUUAGAGGUGAAAUCCCGGGGCUCAACUUCGGAAUUGCCUCUGAUACUGUUAGGCUAGAGCGUAGUUGCGGUAGGCGGAAUGUGUGGUGUAGCGGUGAAAUGCUUAGAGAUCAUGCAGAACACCGAUUGCGAAGGCAGCUUACCAAGCUACUUCUGACGUUGAGGCACGAAAGCGUGGGGAGCAAACAGGAUUAGAUACCCGUGUAGUC
Molecule: ribosomal RNA, 460 nt
Filed under: uncultured bacterium
Lineage: Bacteria
Description: partial 16S ribosomal RNA
Rfam family: Bacterial small subunit ribosomal RNA
Source: RNAcentral